This 478-nucleotide ribosomal RNA is filed under the name uncultured bacterium. Its description in RNAcentral is "partial 16S ribosomal RNA". It matches the Rfam family "Bacterial small subunit ribosomal RNA", at positions 28 to 523 of the family's 1533-position model. The record is from RNAcentral.
GACGAACGCUGGCGGCGUGCUUAACACAUGCAAGUCGAACGGUAAGGCCCUUCGGGGUACACGAGUGGCGAACGGGUGAGUAACACGUGGGUGAUCUGCCCUGCACUUCGGGAUAAGCCUGGGCAACUGGGUCUAAUACCGGAGAGGACCACUGGCUGCAAGGGUGGUGGCGGAAAGCUUUUGCGGUGUGGGAUGGGCCCGGGGCCGAUUCGCUUGGUGGUGGGGGGAUGGUGUACCAAGGGGACGACGGGUAGCCGGCCUGAGAGGGUGACCGGCCACACUGGGACUGAGAUACGGCCCAGACGCCUACGGGAGGCAGCAGUGGGGAAUAUUGCACAAUGGGCGCAAGCCUGAUGCAGCGACGCCGCGGGAGGGAUGACGGCCUUCGGGUUGUAAACCUCUUUCAGCACCGACGAAGUGCAAGUGACGGUAGGUGCAGAAGAAGGACCGGCCAACUACGUGCCAGCCGCCGCAGUAA